Molecule: long non-coding RNA, 935 nt
Organism: Arachis stenosperma
Lineage: Eukaryota; Viridiplantae; Streptophyta; Magnoliopsida; Fabales; Fabaceae
Exons: 2
Source: RefSeq, a predicted model, not a curated record
UCUCUCUUAUAUCAUCGACCACACCCAACCCAUAAUUUAUCAUCACCAACUCCAACCCUUCCUUUUAUUCAUUUCGCACACGCACUCGCACUCGCGUAUUUUGGAAACUGCAGUCACGCGCUCUUGUGGGACCCACACCCACGUGGUCUAUGAGUCUAUGGCAUUUUUUGCUUUUUCCAUUGGUUAAUUCCAGUAUUCUCCGCUGCUUCCUCUAGCUACCACACCCCAUGCUCUUGUGGGUGUGUUUUAUUUUAUUUCUUCUUCUUUUUUUUUUCUUAAUAUAAUUAUUAAUUAUUAUUCUGUGUGCGGUGAUGAAGAGAAAACAACGCCGUUUUCGUAAUGAGAAUGUAGUAGUGUAGUACCGAUUCCAAGUCUAGAAUAGCCGUUUUUCAACGUUGGUUCGUCAACUCUUGCUAGUGCACGGAGACUUGAGCUUCGAUUGCUAAGGAAAUUGACGAAUCUACUGAAGUAGUAUUAUAUUUGAACUUCCCCAGCUGAUACAACCUUUUUGUCUGUAUGUAUCUAUUGAUCUGUCUUGCAAGUUAUGCACAUGAUAAAGCAUGAAUGCAUGACUGUAUCAGCAAUUCAGCGAGGACGAUAUAUAUAAUGCAUUAUUCGUUUUGUUUCUCAUAUAUAGCUAACGUGUGUGUUGCUUUUAUUUUUACUUUCGUAUAUGUUAUAUGUAGGACACAAUAUGGGAUACACCAAUAGGAAUUGCGUUAACUACACAUGGCACUAUUUUGGUGGUCGAAAUUAUUACUUGGACUUUCAUUAAUUUUCUUAUAAAAUUGACUAAAUAGUAUAGUAACCUAGCUCAGUAGCUACUAUUUAAUGAGAUUCGUCAUUAUCAAAUUAUUAAUGAGUUUUGAUAUUUAAACAUCACACAUGUUGAGCUUUGAAGUAUAAUAUUUAUAUAUAUACAUGCUGGAUUCUUA